AGCAGCCGCGGUAAUUCCAGCUCCAAUAGCGUAUAUUAAAGUUGUUGCAGUUAAAAAGCUCGUAGUUGAAUUUCGGGGUUCUAUCGUUGGUCGGGCUAACCAGUCUGUACUAGCGUGUAGAAUUCCUACCUUCUGGGGAACCAUCAUGUUAUUAAUUUAGCGUGGUGGGAAACCAGGACCUUUACCUUGAAAAAUUAGAGUGUUCAAAGCAGGCUUACGUCUGAAUACAUUAGCAUGGAAUAAUAAAAUAGGACGGUGGUCCUGUUUUGUUGGUUUCUGAAUCACCGUAAUGAUUAAUAGGGAUAGUUGGGGGCAUUAGUAUUCAAUUGUCAGAGGUGAAAUUCUUGGAUUUAUUGAAGACUAACUUCUGCGAAAGCAUUUGCCAAGGAUGUUUUCAUUAAUCAAGAACGAAAGUUAGGGGAUCGAAGACGAUCAGAUACCGUCGUAGUCUUAACCAUAAACUAUGCCGACUAGGGAUCGGACGAUGUUAAAUUUUAUUGACUCGUUAGACGUCCUUACG
RNAcentral lists this ribosomal RNA (520 nucleotides) under uncultured Scutellospora. RNAcentral's name for it is "SSU rRNA". It matches the Rfam family "Eukaryotic small subunit ribosomal RNA", at positions 569 to 1092 of the family's 1831-position model. Lineage: Eukaryota; Fungi; Glomeromycota; Glomeromycetes; Diversisporales; Gigasporaceae. The record is from RNAcentral.